GCUGUGAUGGCCGAGUGGUUAAGGCGUUUGACUAGAAAUCAAAUGGGAUCUUCCCGCGUAGGUUCAAAUCCUACUCAUAGCG
RNAcentral lists this transfer RNA (82 nucleotides) under Hydra vulgaris (swiftwater hydra). RNAcentral's name for it is "transfer RNA serine (anticodon AGA)". It matches the Rfam family "tRNA". From Rfam's summary of the family: Transfer RNA (tRNA) molecules are approximately 80 nucleotides in length. Lineage: Eukaryota; Metazoa; Cnidaria; Hydrozoa; Anthoathecata; Hydridae. The record is from Rfam by way of RNAcentral.